GAUGAACGCUGGCGGCGUGCCUAAUACAUGCAAGUCGAGCGAACAGACGAGGAGCUUGCUCCUCUGACGUUAGCGGCGGACGGGUGAGUAACACGUGGAUAACCUACCUAUAAGACGGGGAUAACUUCGGGAAACCGGAGCUAAUACCGGAUAAUAUAUUGAACCGCAUGGUUCAAUAGUGAAAGACGGUUUUGCUGUCACUUAUAGAUGGAUCCGCGCCGCAUUAGCUAGUUGGUAAGGUAACGGCUUACCAAGGCAACGAUGCGUAGCCGACCUGAGAGGGUGAUCGGCCACACUGGAACUGAGACACGGUCCAGACUCCUACGGGAGGCAGCAGUAGGGAAUCUUGCGCAAUGGGCGAAAGCCUGACGGAGCAACGCCGCGUGAGUGAUGAAGGUCUUCGGAUCGUAAAACUCUGUUAUUAGGGAAGAACAAAUGUGUAAGUAACUAUGCCCGUCUUGACGGUACCUAAUCAGAAAGCCCCGGCUAACUCCGUG
Molecule: ribosomal RNA, 497 nt
Filed under: uncultured bacterium
Lineage: Bacteria
Description: partial 16S ribosomal RNA
Rfam family: Bacterial small subunit ribosomal RNA
Source: RNAcentral